RNAcentral lists this long non-coding RNA (1208 nucleotides) under Glycine max (soybean). Its description in RNAcentral is "long non-coding RNA (GMAX_LNC000425)". The record is from RNAcentral. Lineage: Eukaryota; Viridiplantae; Streptophyta; Magnoliopsida; Fabales; Fabaceae.
GCAUGAUUCCUCUGCAAAUGGAGUUAGGAGGAAAAGAUGCCUGCAUUGUACUUGAGGAUGCUGACCUGGAUUUGGUUGCUGCAAACAUUAUAAAGGGAGGCUUUUCAUACAGGUAAUGGCACAUCUGAAUUAGUACUUCUGGGGCAAGGUUUCCUUUUCUGCAUUGAUUUGACAGAACUGCCAACCAAUAUUAAGGAAGACAAUUAGACAUCCUACACACUUUGCAUGCAUCCUUGUUUUGCAUCCUUCUGUGAAAUAAACAGUUUGUGAGAUAUUGCUGCUAACAUCAGAUUAUUUUACCAUAUAAGAUGAAUAUUGCAUGGUUAGAAUUUAUAUAGAUCUAGAAACUAAGCAAAUAUACUUCCAUUUCAGCUUCAUGUGCUUAUUUUUUUAUGUUAUGGCUCUAUGUAAAACAGUAAUCCAGAUAUAAUUUUGCGGAGAACAAAAUUCUCAAGGAUUUUUCUUUGUAUAAUGGAUACUUGAAUUAUAAUUCUUUUUUCUUUUGCAACAAAAGUGGUCAGAGGUGCACUGCUGUUAAGGUUGUCCUGGUAAUGGAGUCCGUUGCCGAUGCUUUGGUUGAGAAGGUGAAGGCUAAGGUGGCAAAACUAACUGUUGGACCACCAGAGGAUGACUGUGAUAUCACCCCGGUUGUGUCAGAAUCAUCUGCCAAUUUCAUUGAAGGCCUGGUCUUGGAUGCUAAGGAGAAAGGAGCAACAUUCUGCCAGGAGUACAAAAGAGAAGGCAAUCUUAUUUGGCCUUUGCUACUGGACAAUGUUAGGCCAGACAUGAGAAUCGCAUGGGAAGAGCCAUUUGGACCAGUUUUACCAGUAAUUAGGAUCAAUUCAGUUGAAGAAGGAAUCCAUCAUUGCAAUGCUAGCAACUUUGGACUUCAGGUAAAUAAAAUUAUAGCCCUCAAACUUGAACAUUUACUUACCCUUUAAAAAGUACACAAUAUUUUCUUAUAAUACAAGUAAUUUGUAUCAACACAUUGAACUUGUGUAGGGAUGUGUCUUCACAAAGGAUGUCAACAAAGCAAUAAUGAUCAGUGAUGCAAUGGAAACGGGAACAGUUCAGAUAAAUUCCGCCCCGGCUCGUGGGCCAGAUCAUUUUCCCUUUCAGGUGAACCUACCCUUCAACCAACUAAAUUCUGCUAUUUCCAAAACUUGGAAACGAACCAAAAGCAUUUUUUUUCUUGUACAAUGGUCGCA